AUUAAGGCCACGCCCCUUUUCCGCAUUCUAGUGCAGCCCUGGUGACGCCUCCUGUGGCUCAGUCACAUAGCUGUGUGGUACAUGACUGGAGGCAUAUCACUGUCCUCGCCUGGAUCACGCCAAUGUGACCCCAACCCCACCUCCCUCCCCACCCCAUGAUGUCCGAAAAAACCCAACAAAGAAAAUUGGCUGGGACCAAGAGAAAGUUCACAGACUAUCAUCAGUGGAACAGUGCUGGUGUUGGUACUGGAGCAACCGACACCAAAAAGAAGAAAAUAAAUAAUGGCACUAACCCUCAGACAACCACUUCUGGGGGGUUGCCAUUCACCUGAGGAUAAACAACAGAACCGAGCUCAGCUGAAAGAGGAAAAGAAGGCAAGCCACCAACAUCAGCAAGCCCUAAGGAGGCAGCUAGAGGCCCAGGAUCAUACCAUACGAAUCCUUAAGUGUCAGAAAACUGAACUGGAAACAGUGCUCCAUGACAGCCAGGAUGCUGCCAGGAAAUUUGAAGAAGAUUCCAAGGAUCUGGCAGGCCGCCUGCAUCAUUCCUGGUACUUUGCAGGAGAGUUACAGCGGGCUCUCUCUGCUAUGUCCGCAGAGCACAAGAGGGUGGACAGGUACAUCGAGGAGUUAACAAAGGAGAGGGAAGCCCUGAGUCUGGAGCUGCACAGGAACAUGUAGGAUGGGGGAGCGGGGGAUGGGAGGUCUGAGAGCCCUUAGCAUGGGUGGUGUGCUGGGAGGUGGUGGGUACAGGUGAGCAUGCUAGGGGGUCAUACAGGUUUACAUGUGUGCGCAGGGAAGCUCCAGUGAUGGCUGUGCCACUGACUCAUGGGGUAGCCUCAGGCAACUCACGUCUUCUCUCUGGCCUGCCACCUGGGACUUUUAAUUCCUGGGGUCUCUUCCAAUGCCACGGUUCUGUGGUUGUGGGGCGAGGGUAGAGGGUCGAUCACCAAAGCGGUCCUUUCUGUUCUUUGCUCAUUCCUUUCUCUACUGCCUCUGGCCAUAGCAUAACCAAUGAGGAGCUGAAGGAGAAAAAUGCCGAACUACAAGAAAAACUUCGACUGGUAGAAACUGAAAAGUCUGAGAUCCAGCUCCACAUCAAGGAGCUAAAAAGGAAACUGGAGACGGACAAAAUCCCGCUGCCACAGGUUCAAACCAACACUUUGCAGGAGAAGAUGUGGAGGCAGCAGGAGGAGCUACGGGAUCAGGAGAAGCUACGGAAGCACGAGGAGAAGAUGUGGAGACAGGAGCAGAGGCUGCGGGACCAGGAGAAGGAGC
Molecule: RNA transcript, 1278 nt
Organism: Homo sapiens (human)
Lineage: Eukaryota; Metazoa; Chordata; Mammalia; Primates; Hominidae
Gene name: golgin A6 family-like 1 pseudogene
Exons: 8
Source: RefSeq, marked validated